RNAcentral lists this transfer RNA (61 nucleotides) under Haemaphysalis qinghaiensis. RNAcentral describes it as "tRNA-Trp". The record is from RNAcentral. RNAcentral also lists the same sequence under 2 other names. Lineage: Eukaryota; Metazoa; Arthropoda; Arachnida; Ixodida; Ixodidae.
AAGAUUUUAAGUUAAAAAAACUAUUUACCUUCAAAGUAAAAAUUAUUAAAUAUAAAUCUUA